UACGGGGGGGGCAAGCGUUGUUCGGAAUUACUGGGCGUAAAGGGCUCGUAGGCGGCCAACUAAGUCAGACGUGAAAUCCCUCGGCUUAACCGGGGAACUGCGUCUGAUACUGUUUGGCUCGAGUCCGGAAGAGGCGAGUGGAAUUCCCGGUGUAGCGGUGAAAUGCGCAGAUAUCGGGAGGAACACCAAUGGCGAAGGCAGCUCGCUGGGACGGUACUGACGCUGAGACGCGAAAGCGUGGGGAGCAAACAGG
This 253-nucleotide ribosomal RNA is filed under the name uncultured bacterium. Its description in RNAcentral is "partial 16S ribosomal RNA". It matches the Rfam family "Bacterial small subunit ribosomal RNA", at positions 524 to 776 of the family's 1533-position model. The record is from RNAcentral.